CUCCAUCCCAGAGCACGGUACAAACUCCCAUCCCUGAGACGGGACGUAGCCCCCACCAGCACCGCCCCCACCUUGCAGCCCCGAACCGUUCAUAAACGCAGUCCACAUUUCUCAGCCGCAUCAAAAGAAAACAUUUAAAAAAAAAAAAAAACUUAACAAUGUAAAUUAGGUUAUUAAAAACUGAUCAUGAAGAUAUUUUGCAAGUGUACAUUUCUGCUCUAUAAUGCAUACGUUCAAAUACUGCAGAAAUGUCUACAGUUCAACACCGUUUUUUCAGUUGGUGACCGGUGGCAUAAUAAAAAUUAUCCAAACCCGGCCAAGUCCCCCGUCGGCCACACAGCAGCGCCCAGGCCAGCAGUGACCGCUGUGCUGCAGGCGACGGGACUGGACUCGUUGGUCCCCUUCAUGUCUUCGCAGGGACAAGGUCAAGCCCUCAUUGUGGUGCCCGGAUACCCACGGUGUCCUGUUUUGUCUCUGAAAGACCUCCUCACUGCUACACCCAUGCGUUGUUUUCCUUUUCACACGUUCAUAUCGAAAUCUCAGGACGCACUGUGUCUUUUCUCUCCCCCGCACGGAGUCGUCGUAGGCGACAAUCCAGGGCUGGCAAAGACAGACACCCAGUAACCACUCCGGCGCGAAUGGGAGAAGUUCCCAAAAAUAUCACGGGGCACACUGAUGUAAGAGCAGCGGAGUAUUUUUACCCCUUGUAACCAAGAGUGUGUUUUCCUGAAGACAGAUAGCGUCUGAAGAGGUACCGGAGGAGCAUCCAUUAAUCAACACCGGGUUGCUCUAAUCACGUCGCAGGAUACUACCUUACGCUGUAUCCAUGGCAACAAAUCAAAUUUACGCACAGUGCGCUGUAGUGGACUGGAUGGUCAAAAAUAGCAGUCACCCCUUUCAGAGGCAACAAACUUCACUUAUGGUCUGGGAGCAGUAAUUUCUCACAAUAAAUGCAAAUAUGAAUGCUGGCCCUAAUAUGUGACGUAAAUCAUCCCACCGGUGGGAUGAAAGAACGAUACACAAGACACCGAUUCCGCCCCCGUCCUGGUGGUCAGACAGUGGCUCCUCUGCCUGUUUAUCCUCCUGCUUGGGGACAUCCAGCCGGUCAAUGAAGCUCUGCAACUCCUUCCUGAAGGCUUUC
This is a long non-coding RNA of Thunnus maccoyii (southern bluefin tuna), 1141 nucleotides long. RefSeq lists it as uncharacterized. Lineage: Eukaryota; Metazoa; Chordata; Actinopteri; Scombriformes; Scombridae. The record is from RefSeq and is a predicted model, not a curated record. The transcript is spliced from 3 exons.